CAAAUGGAUCCAUUUGGAUCCACUUUUAAAGACUAUGGAGAACAUU
Non-coding RNA from Nipponia nippon (crested ibis), 46 nucleotides. The record is from Rfam. NCBI's taxonomy places the organism in Eukaryota, Metazoa, Chordata, Aves, Pelecaniformes, Threskiornithidae.